RNAcentral lists this long non-coding RNA (393 nucleotides) under Callithrix jacchus (white-tufted-ear marmoset). Its description in RNAcentral is "lncRNA (ENSCJAG00000084808.1)". Lineage: Eukaryota; Metazoa; Chordata; Mammalia; Primates; Cebidae. The record is from RNAcentral.
GGCUGUUGUUUUUCAAGGCAACGAUGGAGGCAAAGCGCCAGCAGGCCCUAGUCCCAGUGAUUUGCUUAGAAAAGCUCUGGGACAAGAGAGAUGGUAUUUUCUAGUCUGCACUGGUGACAUCUGUAGCAAGCCAGUUGGAGAAAACCAGCAUUUGGAUAACUGGAUUCCAGGUACUGGUUCCCUUUGUAAGUCCAUGUGUUUUACUUUAUGCAUUUACAACAUCAUUCUGAGACUGUUUUCAAAAAAAGGAAGUCGAGACUCCUGCUUUAGAACAGGUAACAAAACACACGUUUAGAAUUGUAACUCCCUUGAUGCAAUUCGGCUGGUGAUCCAGGGACUUCAUUAGGGCAGCUCAGCAUUUCUUCAAUGUCUGCCUAGACGCCUAUUCCAGCG